AAAACAUGGAAGCUGAUGUCAAAUAUGUCCUCUUUCCCUACUCACUGGAUUUGGUUGCUUCACCACUUGUCUUCAAGCCUGGGAUUCCCUUUUCUAUCAAGGUACAAGUCAAGAAUGUGGCUGGCCAUGUUGUAAGGGGGGUUGCUGUACUCUUGAAAACAAAAAAUUUACAGAAAACAAAAAAGACAAACCUGAAUGUAAGACAAAGGAAAACAAAUUCUAAUGGAGUAGCCUCAUUUGCCAUUAACGUUCCCUCUGAUGUCACCACACUGGAUUUUUAUGUCAGAACGAAUGACCCAGAUGUUCCAAAAGAAUAUCAAGCCAGAAAAGACUAUCAAGCAGUGGCCUAUGCAGGUCAGAGCCAAAGUUUCCUUUCCCUCAGCCGGCCAGAUAGUGACAAGAAUCUGCUGGUAGGAGAACAUCUGAACAUAAUUGUCACUCCUAAAAGUCCUUAUUUGGACAGGAUAACACACUACAAUUAUCUGAUUUCAUCUAGAGGAAAAAUAAUACACUUUGGUACAAUGAAGAAACUCCCAGGUUCCCCCUCCCAACCGCUCAACCUUCUUGUGACUUAACACAUGGCUCCUGCAUCCUGUAUCUUUGUCUUCUUCUUUGUCAGAGAAGAUCAGAGGACAGAAUUGGUGUCUGACUCAGUUUGCCUAAAGGUUGAAGAAAAAUGUGGCAACCCCCUCCAAAUUCAUCUGUCUCCAAGCAGAGAUUCACAUC
Suncus etruscus (white-toothed pygmy shrew) is the source of this 726-nucleotide long non-coding RNA. RefSeq lists it as uncharacterized. Lineage: Eukaryota; Metazoa; Chordata; Mammalia; Eulipotyphla; Soricidae. The record is from RefSeq and is a predicted model, not a curated record. The transcript has 5 exons.